RNAcentral lists this ribosomal RNA (503 nucleotides) under uncultured bacterium. RNAcentral describes it as "partial 16S ribosomal RNA". It matches the Rfam family "Bacterial small subunit ribosomal RNA", at positions 30 to 523 of the family's 1533-position model. The record is from RNAcentral.
AUUGAACGCUGGCGGCAGGCUUAACACAUGCAAGUCGAGCGGGGUGAUGGUGCUUGCACUAUCACUUAGCGGCGGACGGGUGAGUAAUGCUUAGGAAUCUGCCUAUUAGUGGGGGACAACAUCUCGAAAGGGAUGCUAAUACCGCAUACGUCCUACGGGAGAAAGCAGGGGAUCACUUGUGACCUUGCGCUAAUAGAUGAGCCUAAGUCGGAUUAGCUAGUCGGUGGGGUAAAGGCCUACCAAGGCGACGAUCUGUAGCGGGUCUGAGAGGAUGAUCCGCCACACUGGGACUGAGACACGGCCCAGACUCCUACGGGAGGCAGCAGUGGGGAAUAUUGGACAAUGGGCGGAAGCCUGAUCCAGCCAUGCCGCGUGUGUGAAGAAGGCCUUAUGGUUGUAAAGCACUUUAAGCGAGGAGGAGGCUACUUUAGUUAAUACCUAGAGAUAGUGGACGUUACUCGCAGAAUAAGCACCGGCUAACUCUGUGCCAGCCGCCGCGGUAA